CAGGGCCCGGAGGCCUGCUGCUCCUCCUCCUCCUCCUCCUCCUCCUCCCCGCCAGGCUGAGGCGGCGAAGGGGUGGUGGCGGCGGUGGCGGCGGCAGCCCGGGGGGAGGGGGCGGAGCGCGCGGCCCGCUCCCUCUCUCCUCCCCCGGGAGGCGGAGGAGACCCUAUCUCGGGCCGCCGCGCCUAGGCCCGUGGACAGCCUGCGGCAGGGGCAUGGCGGCCCCGAGCAGCGGCGUGCCUGCGAGAGAUGAGGAAAGUCAGGAAGAUGCGAAUGAGGCCCAGAAAGUUUUGUGCUGAGAUUUGAAGAAGGAGAAGAAAAAGAAGGCGGAAUGCUUACCCUGGGAGGGGAACGGCAGCGACAGAGCAAGUCUCAGGAAGGGCCUGGUGUGUGUGAGAGCAGGUGCACAAGUCAUCACCGGAAAACCUUUGGGAUACAGUAUACGAAGUGAGGAGCUGCCAGUGCUGGAAGGACGGGUCCCAGAAGUCUCUGUUGUAGGGUAUGCCUAAGGCAUGGUGGAAUGAAGUCAGCGCAAACUACGAGGGCUCCCAAUGCAAGAAUUUCGACAAGACUGCAGUUGGACCAUGAAGCUGAUGCAGAUGAGACAGGUGGUGCCCCCAGGGCCCUUCAUGUUGCUUUCAGAAUCCGUGUGGUUUGUUCAAAAUCCCACCUACUGCUUUUGCCAAGACCAGCUUUCCACACUCUGAGAAUGGAUUUCUCUUUGUGGUCUGUUAGGCCACUGUGUGGUUUCCCCUACUGGAUUCUUUUUUGUGGUUGCAGGUCAAACCCUUUCUUGCCUGCUGCUUCCAGGAAUGUGUGGUGUGUGUCCCAGCGUGCUAUACCAGAGGGUUUUAUUUCACCUCCCUUGAAUGGAAUGGCAGUCAUCCAGCAGGCCUGGGUGCACAUAUAAAUAGACGGACACGUAAGCCUGCAUUUCAUAUCCAGAACAUAAACCAGCCACCACUGCGCGCUACACCGUCAUGUUUUGAUGAAAGACUGCUGACAGCGCCACAGACCAUGCCAUGGGGCCCAGCAAACCACCUAAUCCCAACUGCUUUAUCCCAGGCAUCGAAGGGGCAGAUUUCACUGCCAGGAACAAUUUCUUUCCAGCCACCAGCAGCUCUCAGUUUCUUUGGCUUUUCCUGCUUCAGCUGCCCAUUACUGGUGACCCUCAGUCAGAGAGGCCAGGGUGAACACGGAAGACUAAAAUGUACAGCUAAUCCCCCCAUUUUUUUUUUUCCAGGCAGAAAAUUUAGACCCACUUGCCUGUGAAGCCCUUUGACUCUGGAGCUCAUGUCAAAAGGGCCCAUUGAAAGCUUAGCAUUUCCAUAUCUCCUGCCUAAAUUUCUCCAGCGUACAACAGGGGAGUGUCCCGUCCUAGACUCUAUAGGAUUAAGUAUGAAUUCCUGCCAUUCAGAUUCUUUACAAUAUGGUCCCAAACUACCUUUCCCAUUGUAUAACGACUAUGUCCUUACUUUAGCCUCUGUUUGAAUCUUGGUCCACUUUCCGUUUUCCAAGGCCACUUAUAUCACUAUGCCAUUGUUGUAGUGGCCCCCUCCCCUGGAAUAGUCGGCCUUCUCGCUGCCUGUUGAAAGCAUUUCUAUCCUCUAAGGCUGAGUUUCAUUCCGGGACCUCCAUGACCACUCCCACUCAUGUCUUUCUCUCCAUAGCGUGCAUUGUUUCUACUCUUUACUCAAUGAGUCAUUGCAUUACUUAUGAUAGAUUCUUUGUAGUCUUAUAAACUGAUUAGAACUGACAUUUUGCACAUUGGAAUUCUAGAUUCUAGUCUCCUCUAGAGUGGAAUCCCCAUGAGGUCAGGGUUCAUGCAUUAUCUUCCUUGUAACUCCUACGGUGUUAAGUGCUGUGUCUACAAGAGGAGCCAGGAAGUGCUUGUUGAUUGAAUGAAUAAAAAUCACUCUUGAAAAAUCA
This is a long non-coding RNA of Balaenoptera ricei (Rice's whale), 1926 nucleotides long. RefSeq lists it as uncharacterized. The transcript is spliced from 4 exons. The record is from RefSeq and is a predicted model, not a curated record. Lineage: Eukaryota; Metazoa; Chordata; Mammalia; Artiodactyla; Balaenopteridae.